GCAGCAGGCACGCAAAUUACCCACUCCCGGCACGGAGAGGUAGUGACAAAAAAUAACGAUACGGGACUCUAUUGAGGCCCCGUAAUCGGAAUGAGUACACUUUAAAUCCUUUAACAAGGAUCCAUUGGAGGGCAAGUCUGGUGCCAGCAGCCGCGGUAAUUCCAGCUCCAAUAGCGUAUAUUAAAGUUGUUGCGGUUAAAAAGCUCGUAGUUGGUUCUGCGUGUCGCGCUGUCGGUUCGCCGCCUGUCGGUGUAACUGGCAUGUCGCGGCAUGUCCUGUCGGUGGUGAACGGGAUUGCCUGUGCAGCUAAGGCUUCACAGCCAAAGUUGCCGUGCGAAUGCCGUUUGCCGAUCCUCCUACUCCGGUGCUCUUAAACGAGUGUCGAGGUAGGCCGACACGUUCACUUUGAACAAAUUAGAGUGCUUAAAGCAGGCUGAAAUAUCUGCCUGAAUAGUGGUGCAUGGAAUGAUAAAAUAGGACCUCGGUUCUAUUUUGUUGGUUUUAGGAAUGUGAGGUAAUGAUCAAUGUGGACUGGCGGGGGCAUUCGUAUUGCGACGUUAGAGGUGAAAUUCUUGGAUCGUCGCAAGACGCACUAAAGCGAAAGCAUUUGCCAAGUAUGUCUUAAUUGAUCAAGAACGAAAGUUAGAGGUUCGAAGGCGAUCAGAUACCGCCCUAGUUCUAACCAUAAACGAUGCCAGCCAGCGAUCCGCAGAUGUUCCAUUAAUGACUCUGCGGGGAGCUUCCACCCGGGAAACCAAAGCUUUUGGGCUCCGGGGGAAGUAUGGUUGCAAAGCUGAAACCUUAAAGGAAUGACGGAAGGGCACCACCAGGAGUGGAGCCUGCGGCUUAAUUUGACUCAACACGGGAAACCUCA
Molecule: ribosomal RNA, 874 nt
Filed under: Paredocla chevalieri
Lineage: Eukaryota; Metazoa; Arthropoda; Insecta; Hemiptera; Reduviidae
Description: SSU rRNA
Rfam family: Eukaryotic small subunit ribosomal RNA
Source: RNAcentral